UGAUCCAGCCAUGCCGCGUGCAGGAUGAAGGCCCUCUGGGGCGUAAACUGUUUUUAUAUGGGAAUAAAAAGAUGGUCGCCAUUAUUGAAGGUACCAUAUGAAUAAGCACCGGCUAACUACGUGCCAGCAGCCGCGGUAAUACGUAGGGUGCAACGGUUGUCCGGAAUCAUUGGGUGUAAAGGGUGCGUAGGCGGAUUGGUAAGUCAGAGGUGAAAGCCACGUAGCUUAACUACUGAACUGCCUUUGAUACUGCCAGUCUUGAGUCCUGGAGAGGUUACUGGAAUUCUUGGUGUAGCAGUGAAAUGCGUAGAUAUCACGAGGAAUACCCGAAGCGUAGGCGAGUAACUGGACAGGUACUGACGCUCAGGCACGAAAGCGUGGGGAGCAAACAGGAUUAGAUACCCUGGUAGUCCACGCUGUAAACGAUGAACACUCGACGUUGGCCCUGUAUGGGGUCAGUGUCUAAGCUAACGCGUUAAGUGUUCCACCUGGGGA
RNAcentral lists this ribosomal RNA (495 nucleotides) under uncultured Sphingobacteriales bacterium. RNAcentral describes it as "bacterial SSU rRNA". It matches the Rfam family "Bacterial small subunit ribosomal RNA", at positions 384 to 879 of the family's 1533-position model. Lineage: Bacteria; Pseudomonadati; Bacteroidota; Sphingobacteriia; Sphingobacteriales. The record is from RNAcentral.